UUUUUUUUUUUUUUGUGAAAAACUUAACCCAGAGUUAAUUUGUCAUCUCAAUUUUAUUCUUAUUAAUACUCAUGGUUUGUAUUCCCCUGAUCUUUCUUCACAAAUUUCCCAGCCUAUUAAUUGAAAUAAUUACAGCUGUUCAUUUGUUUUGUUCCCUGUUCACGGACUUCCUAGAUUUGCUAGUAUUCUACCUUAUUGCUGUCUUUAGAACUUUCUAGUAUAAAUCAACACUUUUCCUCUAGGUUUAGCCUCAGUGCUUCCUGGUAAUCUUAUUUUGUUUUUAUCUUCUUUUUCAUUCUACAUAUUAGUUAAUUGGAACCUUUCGGUUUCAAUUCCAAAAUAUUUCUAUUUUUCUCAUUCUUUUUCAUUUCAUAUUUUAUAUUUUCUUUUCCUCAAUGUGUCUUUACUCAAAGAACAUGAUUUUUUUUUAAAAGAACAUGAUAUUUUUAUUUAUUUCAAAGGCUAACAUCUAUAUUCUUAAUCUUUAUUCCUUCUUCCUUUUACUUGAGCCUUGGUGUUUUCUGUUAUUCUCUUUAUGCUCCAUGCUGGGUUUUCUGUCUUAUCACACUUAACUUUUACUCUUUCACUGUCCUUCCCAUUAUCACUGAGCCUGUUUGAUUUAUAUUGAUUCUAGGUGUCCAGUUUAUCAAUUCUUAUUCAACUGCCUUCUGCAGUUUGACUAUUGUUUCUACUUGCAUUCUGUCCUCAAGUGAAAGUAAACUUCCUUUCUUAUCUAACCAGGUAGAUAGACAUUAGUUAGGCUUUAUAUUAUCCCCAAGGUAAGACUGAGUUCCAGUUGCUAAAUCUGUAGGUUUUCAUUUCUCCUCCUGUCAUGCCCAUUUUCAGCAUUUGGUAUUUUGCUUCUUCUUAACAUUCACUUCUCCCUUGUCUUCUGAAUACUGUACUUUAUGAUUUUUCUGUGAUGUCUUUGACUGCAUUUUUGUUGUUGUUGUUGUUAUUCCUUUUUUCUUUUACAUACCUCUUAGGUAUAAACUGAGUUGGGGCUUUGCUCCUUAUUCCUCUUCAUUACAUAUCCUUUCUAGAUCUCUGUUUUUAUUAUAUAAAUAAUCACAGAUUUGGGAAGACUCAUAAAUGCCACAUAUUCCUUCAUUACCUAUUUUACCUCAGUUAUUAUCUCCUCAGCACCCCAAAAUUAUUAUUUCUUAAGCUGAAAAAUUUGCCUUGAAAAUGGUUGCUAUAUGGUUGAAACUUAGUAAAUGCUUUUUGAAUUAGUGAAAGAACUCAUUAUCCUAGUGCCCCAAUCUGUUGUUUGUUCUCUUUUUUACAUAAUGAUUUUAACCAUUCACCUCUUCUCAUGUCACAAACUGUGUAACAUAUUUGACCAGUUUUUGUCUAUGCGUGUUAACAUUAAUUAUUAUAUUUUAGUCUUAAGUGUAACUAAUGGGGCAGAUGAUAUUCUUCUUUGCAGAUGGUAGAAGUAGAAAUUACAGAUUGUGAUUUGCUUAUAGUUUCACAGAUAGUGAUGGAGUUGAAAAUUAAAAUUAGGUUUCUGAUUACACGUUUCCUGGUUUUCACACAAAACAUUGUUUCUUUUUUAAAGUUUUAUUUAAAUUUAAUUUGCCAACAUACAGUAUAACACCCAGUGCUCAUCCCAUCAUGUGCCCUAUCAACCAGUUACCCCAUCCCCUGACCCACCUCCCCUUCUGCAACUCUUUGUUUCCCAGAGUUAAGAGUCUCUCAUGGUUUGUCUUUCUCUUUAAAACAUUGUUUCUAAUGAUAAAAGCAGUAUGAUUGACAAGAAAUUACUAUUAGUGUACUAUGUGAGUUAAGGGAGAAAAGACUGGAAGAAGGUGGGAGUACUUUAAAUUCUUAUGUGAUGAGAUGAAAGUCCUAAUUUGGAGAGAGGAAAGAAAAAGAUAUGAGAAGUUUUUCACUCAACACUAAUAGAAUUUUGAGAUUCUGACAUCUGAUAAUGAUGCAGUAAUGCCUGUGAAUUAGUUGAGUGAAUCUUCCUUCAGAUAACUAUGAUAAAAUCUGGAUAAAAUAUUGUAAGAAAAAUUUCAACUGUUUGAAAGCAGCAGAAAAUGAGCAAAAUGAGGCAGAAGCAAGAUAAGAGAUUAUUCUUUAAAGCCUCCAACUGCAGUGUGUAAGAACUGUAUGUUUGUAGCUUUCUUGGCUUUGGUUGCAUACCAACCUCCUGUAGUUCUGGUGGCAUAGGACAGAAAUUAAGGCUAGCCAAGCUAUCUACUGGGAGUCUAGAAGCAAGAGAACCAUUGAAGAGGUAAACAAAAACUGAUGGAAUUUUUCACUAGUCCACUGGCAUUGCAAGCAAUUCUAAAGGAAGCUCAUUAGUCUGAAGGGAAAAGGCACCAGAUUACAAAAGCCAUUCAUCUACUAAGGAAUCACAUAAAAAAAAGUGAAUAUAUGAGUAAUUAUAAAAACUAUACACACUUUUAUUAAUUAAAAAACUACCUAUGAUUAAGGCAAAAUGUAAGUUUAAAAUGUAUAUGAAAAUAAUAGCACAAAAUUGGGGUAUUUCUGGCUUAAUUUGUAUUUUUCUGAUGUUAGUAUUGAGCAUCUUUUUGUGUGUUGUUGGCAAUUUGAGUAUCUUUUUUUUUUUUUUUUAAAGAUUUUAUUUUUAUUUAUUCAUAGAGACAGACAGAGAGAGAGAGAGAGGGGCCGAGGGAGAAGCAGGCAUCAUACAGAGAGCCUGACGUGGGACUCCAUCCAGGGUCUCCAGGGUCUCCAGGAUCACGCCCUGGGCUGCAGGUGGCGCUAAACCGCUGUGCCACGGGGGCUGCCCUGAGUAUCUUCUUUAGUGAAGUAUCUGAUCUCAAGAUUUUGAGAAUUGACCUAUUAUACAUUAUUUAGUAUAACAUCAUAAUAAGGAAUUAUGACAAAUUGACAUAUUAAUAUUUAAUAUUUGGACUUAUGAACAUGGUGUAUCUUUUAUUUAGGUUAUCUUAUAAUUUCUCUCGGUAAUAUAUGGUAGUUUUCUUUUUUCCUUAAGGUGAUAAGAAAUACUGAACUCUCUAUACUUAUUAAGCAAUAAGUCCUCAUUUCCCCUUCUCCCAGGCUCUGGUAAUAUCUAUUUUGCUUUCUGCCUAUUCUAGACAUUUCAUAUAUGUGGAAUCAUCUAAUAUUUGUCUUUUUCACUUGGCAUGUUUUCAGAGUUCAUCUGUGUCAUAGCAUACAUCAGAAUUUCAUUUCUUUUUAUGGCUGGAUAGUAUUCCACAUUUUGUUUAUUCAUUCAUCUGCUUGUGGUUACUUGGGUUGUAUCCCCCCUUUGGCUAUUGUGAAUAACACUAGUGAACAUUGAUUGACUGAUUGAUUGAUUGAUUGAUGUAUCUGAGUCCUCUUCUCUGUUCUCAGUAUAUAGCUAGAAUGGAAUUGCUGGGUCAUGUGGUAGAUUCUAUAUUAAGCUUUUUGAGACAUUGCCAGACUGUUUUUCACAGUGGCUUCACCGUUGUAUAUUACUAUCGCCAAUUUACAGGGGUUUCAGUUUCCCUAUAUCCUCACCAAUGCUUGUUAUUUCUUGUUAAAAGUACAUUUUUUGGUUAGAUUUCUUAGGAUUUUUUUACAUAAACAGUCAUAUGUGAACAGAGACAGUUUUACCUACUUUUGAUCUGUUUUUUUUCUCUCACCUUUUUAUACUAGAUUUCUACAUUAUAAGUAUAAAUAAUGAGAGCAGGCAUUCUUACUGUGUUCCCAAACCUAGGGAGAAGGUAUUUGUUACUUCACUCUUAAAUCUGUUGUUAGCUAUAGGACUUUGAUAGAUACCCAUAUCUGGUUGAGGAAGUUACUUUACUGAGUGGCUUUAUUAUCUGUUUUUAAUCAUUAAUAGUAUUUGAUUUUGUCACUGACUGUUCUGCAUUAUUGCUAUGAUCAUUUAAUUUUUUCCCUUUUAAGCUAUUACUGUGAAUUACAUUAAAUAUUUUUCAUGUUAACUCAAUCCUACAUUUUUAGGUAAACUCCACUUUGUUAGGAUGUAUUACUGUUUUUAUAUAUCACUGGAUUUGAUUUAGUAAAGUUUUGUCAAAGCUGAAAGUGUCCUCUUUUCCUGUUUUGUAUAACACUGGCCUGUCUUUGUAUACCAGACUUACAGUUUAUAUAAGGCUUGACAUAUGGUUUUCUUAAAUAUUUGAUGGAGUUCACUAGUGAAAAUUUUCUUGAAGGAAGGUUUUGGGUUUGUGAAUUCAAUUUUUUCCCUUGGCAGUAUUGUCAUUUUUCAUUUUUCACAGUACUUUUCUGUUUCAUUUAUUUUGUUGAAUACCUUAGCACAAAGUUGUUCAUAAGAUGUUCCUACUGUUUUUUAAUGCCUGUAGGAUCAGUGGUGAUAUUAACUCUUUGAAUGUUAAGAUGCUACAUUUUCAUAUCAUUUAGUUUAAAAAUAUAAUCUUAUUUUCUUAUUUUUCAUGGAUUUCUUCUUUGACCAGUGGGUUAUUUAUAAGUGUGUUGCUUAAUGUCCAGAUAUUUUGGAUUUUCUUGAUAUCUUUGUAUUAAUAAUUUCUAACUUAAAUUUGUAGUCAUAGGAUAAACUAUCAUAUCAGUUCUUCAAAACUUACAAAGACAUGCUUAUGGGCAGUGUUUAUUCUGCAGUUUUAGGUUAUGGGAUUUUGUAAAUGCCGCCCAUUAAGUCAUGUUAGAUAAUAAUGUUUGAAUCUUUUUUAUUCUUCUUGAGAUUUUUUUGUUUUCGUUUCAUGUAGUAAUUGCUACUUACAUGGUUAAUCCAUAUUUCUCUUAUGUAUCUGGUUAUUGGAUUUGAUAUUUUUCUCUCAAAAUAAUAGUUUUAUUCUUCAUUUCGUUUUCUUGGGUUAUACUAAUGAGAGAUACUUGUUAUUUUACAGUGAUUAAAAAAUAUAUAUAAAUUAAUGUAAUAAUCUGCACACCCAUAUGUCACCUCGGUUUUUUACUUCUUUUUCUUCCCUGUUGUAUUUUUUGUUUGGAUACUAAAGAAGACUGUAGUUUACUAAAGAAGACUGUAGUUUAUUGUAUACUGUGGGAUUCUUAUAAUAGCAUGUGUGUAUAUAGCCCUGUGUUGGAUAGCAUUGCCAGGGAAAACUUGGUUUUGUUUGGUUGAAGUCUGGUGUAAUAAAAACAAAUUUCUGUCAUUAACUGUAGUAUGAAAUUUUGAUCUAUAAUAGUUUUAAUCUAAAUCAUCUAUACAGUAGACAAGUUUGAAAAAUAUUCAGAAGGUUUGAAAAAUGGUUAUUUAAUAUAUGGUCUCAACAGUAAAAUAAGUUAAAAAAAUCCUGUUGUUGUCUACUAUGAAAUUGGAUAGGCAAUUUGGCUUUUGAAAAGUUUUAAAUCUUUAAAUAUAUUGCUUAUUUAAGUCUUCUCUGCAUUGGGACCUUUAGUAAUAGGAAAAUCAAUGUAGGUCUCCACUCCGUUUUUGAGACAGCUGGUAAGAGUAGAACUUAAAUUUUGAUGUCGAGCGCGUUAAAAUCCUACUUCUUAUUAUAAACUCUUCCCAUUGUGAAUUUAGUAAUAUUCUGAUUAUAUUCUCUGUAUUUUCUUAGACAUCCAUUUCUAAUGUUCUUUUAAAAGGCUUCCUGAAAUUUAUUGGUGUAAUGGUCCUUUCUCUCUCUCUUAAUUUUAGAUUUUAUUUACUUGACAGAGAGAGAGAGAGUGCGUGUGCAAGAGAGCACUAGCAGGGGGAGUGGGAGAGGGAGAAGCAGGCCCCCCCCCUCCCCCGCUGAGCAGGGAGCCUGAGGCAGGGCUGGAUCCCAGGAUCCUGGGAUUAUGACCUGAGUCAGAGGCAGACACUUAACCAACUGAGCUACCAAGACGCCCCUCCUCUUUCUUUCUCUGUCUCUUUCUCAAUAUUAUGUAAGAUUUGCAUUCCUAGAACACAAUUCUAUUUGAUGAUGGGUAAUUCUUUUCAUUUUGCCACUUUUCCUCUUACUCAUUUAUGUAAUUAUUGCUAGGCAAAUAUCUGAAAAGAUGUCUUAACACAGAUUUGAAAGUUUUGUUAACUGGGACAUCUGGGUGGUUUAGCAGUUGAACCUUUGGCUCAGGAUGUGAUCCCGGGAUUCAGGAUUGAAUCCCGCAUCAG
This 6016-nucleotide long non-coding RNA is filed under the name Canis lupus familiaris (dog). RNAcentral describes it as "lncRNA (ENSCAFG00845007355.1)". The record is from RNAcentral. Lineage: Eukaryota; Metazoa; Chordata; Mammalia; Carnivora; Canidae.